AUGUGUGUGGAGUUAAUGAAUCCUGUCCCGUUGCAGGCUGAUCGUACCUCUGGACUCAGCCAAAGCCACUCAUCUGUACCAGCAGGCAGCAGGAGUGUCCGAGAAAACCAUCGCACAAGUGCUGGUGCAUCUGCACAGAGGAGACUACGUGGCGGCGGAGAAGUGUGUGCGGGAGAGCUACAGUAUCCCAGGAUUCAGCGGGAGCGAGGACUGCGUGGCCAUGGAGCAGCUUCUGCAGGGUUACGAUGAGCAGGAUGAGGAGCAGGUGUCUCUUGUCUGCACUUCACCGCUGCUCAGAUACAUGGACGACGACGUGAGUCUCCCAGCAUGCAUCUCCUUUAGAGAGAUAUUGCAAUUCUCCUUUAGAGACCCAACCAUUAUUACCAAAGUGAAAAAUUAAUUUUUUUUUUACUAAAAAGUCUGAAAUCUAACUUUUUGAGCUAAAUCAGAGACAAUGUGAGCUUUUGUUUAUUUUAUAAGGCAAGGCACUACAGAUGAUUUUAGGGUAAAAGAGUAAAGAUGCUUAUUUACCGUAUUUUCUCCGCAUGAUUGCAUUAUGUUAUUAGAUUUCUGAAAUGUUGGUAGAAUAUGCAAAUGGAGGAUGCAUUGUGUUCAUUGUGUGCUACAAAUCAUCAUAAUCUUAAAAGCUAUUACCACAAAUACGUAAAUGUUAUAAUGCAUUAAAACGGUUGUUAUGAUUUACUCAUGAGAUGAUGCAACAUAUUAUAAUGUUUUUAUAAUGCAUUCAUUAUAAUGCCUUAAGAAUACUGUUAUAAUGUAUUAUAAAUACAGGCUUUGUAGAAAGUGUAACCAUAAACGCUUUUGUAUUUUGGGUGUUUUCUUUGCACUAGUCUGAAAGAAGGCAUGUUAUGAUUUUUGUUAUUCCAGUAUGCGAAGCUUGCCAUCAGCCUGAAAGUGCCUGGAGGAGGGAAGAAGAAAGCUGCUGCUGCUGCUGGCGGAGAUUCAGAAGUGAGUGCUGGAGCCGCGCCGCCGGAGGAAGAGGAGGAUGAGUACGCCGGAGGCCUCUGUUAAAGCUCUAGUCUACCAAACCUAGCCUGACACUCCUCCAUGAAGGUGCAAGCAUGAGCCCCAAACAUUAUAUUAUCCUGGAGGUGUUUGUGUUUUCAGAACUGUUAAGGAGAGAAACGUCAUCUCGAGAAGAAAAGCAGCAUGUUUAUGCAACAUCUUCCUCUAUUAAACAUGCAUAUUUAGGUUUGCCUUUAACCCAUAAUGUUAAAAUGAAAAUGUGUAUCCUAAAGAGUUUUCAGGCAAACCCAUAAUAGAAGCUUGUUUUUGGUAAACGUGACUUUUUAUCUCACGAUUCAGACUUUUUUCUUUAUAAACGCAGAAUUGCGAGACAAAAGUCUGAAUUGUUUAAUAAAGUCACAAUUACCUUUUUUAUUUUGUGGUGG
This is a long non-coding RNA of Cyprinus carpio (common carp), 1412 nucleotides long. Lineage: Eukaryota; Metazoa; Chordata; Actinopteri; Cypriniformes; Cyprinidae. The record is from Ensembl.